Molecule: ribosomal RNA, 347 nt
Filed under: uncultured Thiobacillus sp.
Lineage: Bacteria; Pseudomonadati; Pseudomonadota; Betaproteobacteria; Nitrosomonadales; Thiobacillaceae
Description: bacterial SSU rRNA
Rfam family: Bacterial small subunit ribosomal RNA
Source: RNAcentral
UCGGAACACAGGUGCUGCAUGGCUGUCGUCAGCUCGUGUCGUGAGAUGUUGGGUUAAGUCCCGCAACGAGCGCAACCCUUAUCAUUAGUUGCUACGCAAGGGCACUCUGAUGAGACUGCCGGUGACAACCGGAGAAGGUGGGGAUGACGUCAAGUCCUCAUGGCCCUUAUGGGUAGGGCUUCACACGUCAUACAAUGGUCGGUACAGAGGGUUGCCAAGCCGCGAGGCGGAGCCAAUCCCACAAAGCCGAUCGUAGUCCGGAUUGUUCUCUGCAACUCGAGAGCAUGAAGUCGGAAUCGCUAGUAAUCGCAGGUCAGCAUACUGCGGUGAAUACGUUCCCGGGUCUU